GCAAUUAUACCGCGAAACUGCGAAUGGCUCAUUAUAUAAGUUAUCGUUUAUUUGAUAGUACCUUACUACUUGGAUAACCGUGGUAAUUCUAGAGCUAAUACAUGCUAAAAAUCCCGACUUCGGAAGGGAUGUAUUUAUUAGAUUAAAAACCAAUGCCCUUCGGGGCUUUCUGGUGAUUCAUGAUAACUUCUCGAAUCGCAUGGCCUUGCGCCGGCGAUGGUUCAUUCAAAUUUCUUCCCUAUCAACUUUCGAUGUUUGGGUAUUGGCCAAACAUGGUUGCAACGGGUAACGGAGGGUUAGGGCUCGACCCCGGAGAAGGAGCCUGAGAAACGGCUACUACAUCCAAGGAAGGCAGCAGGCGCGCAAAUUACCCAAUCCCGACACGGGGAGGUAGUGACAAUAAAUACUGAUACAGGGCUCUUUUGGGUCUUGUAAUUGGAAUGAGUACAAUUUAAAUCCCUUAACGAGGAACAAUUGGAGGGCAAGUCUGGUGCCAGCAGCCGCGGUAAUUCCAGCUCCAAUAGCGUAUAUUAAAGUUGUUGUGGUUAAAAAGCUCGUAGUUGAACCUUGGGCCUGGCUGGCCGGUCCGCCUCACCGCGUGUACUGGUCCGGCCGGGCCUUUCCCUCUGUGGAACCCCAUGCCCUUCACUGGGUGUGGCGGGGAAACAGGACUUUUACUUUGAAAAAAUUAGAGUGCUCCAGGCAGGCCUAUGCUCGAAUACAUUAGCAUGGAAUAAUAGAAUAGGACGUGUGGUUCUAUUUUGUUGGUUUCUAGGACCGCCGUAAUGAUUAAUAGGGACAGUCGGGGGCAUCAGUAUUCAAUUGUCAGAGGUGAAAUUCUUAGAUUUAUUGAAGACUAACUACUGCGAAAGCAUUUGCCAAGGAUGUUUUCAUUAAUCAGGAACGAAAGUUAGGGGAUCGAAGACGAUCAGAUACCGUCGUAGUCUUAACCAUAAACUAUGCCGACUAGGGAUCGGACGAUGUUAUUUUUUGACUCGUUCGGCACCUUACGAGAAAU
RNAcentral lists this ribosomal RNA (1018 nucleotides) under Nectria balsamea. RNAcentral describes it as "SSU rRNA". It matches the Rfam family "Eukaryotic small subunit ribosomal RNA", at positions 69 to 1098 of the family's 1831-position model. Lineage: Eukaryota; Fungi; Ascomycota; Sordariomycetes; Hypocreales; Nectriaceae. The record is from RNAcentral.